CCUGGUGGUUAUGGCGGGGUGGCUGCACCCGUUCCCUUUCCGAACACGGCCGUGAAACGCCCCUGCGCCCAUGGUACUUCGUCUUAAGACGC
RNAcentral lists this ribosomal RNA (92 nucleotides) under Rhizobium leguminosarum. The record is from RNAcentral. Lineage: Bacteria; Pseudomonadati; Pseudomonadota; Alphaproteobacteria; Hyphomicrobiales; Rhizobiaceae. RNAcentral also lists the same sequence under 2 other names.